Long non-coding RNA from Pecten maximus, 2796 nucleotides. RefSeq lists it as uncharacterized. Lineage: Eukaryota; Metazoa; Mollusca; Bivalvia; Pectinida; Pectinidae. The transcript has 2 exons. The record is from RefSeq and is a predicted model, not a curated record.
AGUGUGAUAUAUCAUCGAAUUCCAGCGACCACAUCGAAUAUGACACAGACACCGCCCCGACGUGGAUAAACAUUGGUGUAAUAGUAGUAGGCGUGAUCACUAUAUCGGUGAAUAUCCCUGCUGUGAUUGCCGUUAUUUUGACUAAGGUUCAGUACCCUAAUGCACGGAAUACAUAUCUUCUAGUUUUAGGGAUAACUGACAUUCUCGCUGGAGUAUCUUUGUUUCCAAUUCUGAUAACAUUUAUCAACCCUAACAGUAAAAUAAGUUAUAUAUCAUGUUUUCUUCGGAUGUUCUUUUUCACGCUUACCUACUACAACUCAAUAGGCCAAGUAUGUGUCAUUUGUAUUGACCGAUUUUUCUUGCUAUUGAAGCCAUCUUGGAGAUAUACAUCCAAGUACGAAAGAAGAUAUUUCAAAAUGUUCAGUGUAAUGUUCUUGCUGACUUUUGUAUGGAAUUGCUCAAUAUUCUUUAUCCAUGGACAUCCACAAACAGAAAAAAUCGUGUGUAAACUCGAUAUUCUUUUUUGCAAUAAUUUCCAUCAGUUUAGUUCUUUCGUUGGAGGAGCUGCUGUUUUGAUUCAGUGUUUGAUUAUCACAUGUUGUGUAGCGAUGAUUGCAGUUUUGCAUCGACACAGACGGAAACGUCAGAAAAUUGUACCGGCAAACAGGACCGAAGAACCCAUAGAGGGAUCUUCAAACAGACAAGGCUAUCUUACACAGGAAAACCAAUAUCGUAAAAUGACAGCGGAAGGGAAAAGUACUUUGACCAUCGUUAUAAUCAUCAUCAACCUUAUUAUCUGUGUGACACCACUGAACAUGGGAUUUGUAAUGCAAGGUUUGCGUUUAGUAGAAACAACCAGUCGAACAACAAGGUUUUGUAUCACAACUUUGUCAUGUGCAAAUUCAGCAAUCAAUCCCUUUAUCUAUUGCUUCAGAACACCAAAUGUGAAAGCUACUUUAAAUGCAGGACUCGACAAAAUUAGAGCACUGUUUUGACAAUAUAGAGAUCAAAUUUAUCUAAAGUGUGUUGUACCUUAGCAACUGAUUUUGUGUACUUAGUAACUAGCAGCCAGGUUUUGUGAGCCUGACCUACCUGUGUGUGGUUUCUAUCUUAUGCCGUUUUAUACAAAUAUACGGGAUACUGAUGGUGCAUAAACUAUUCAUAAAAUCAUAGUAUAUUACUGAAAUAUUAAUCAUUUUUUGUUACGGACCAUAUCUGAAUGUAUGCACGUGCGAAACAGCUAGAUCCUGGUUUUUAUUUUGUCAUGCCAUACUAUUUACUAAUCUUGACCUACAGUACCAAACAGUGAAUUGAUAAGUGACCUUGACCUUACUGUCACAAAGAGGUUUAGUGAUGAUUUGGGGCCUUUCGUCUACUAAGCUGGCGGUGAAAGAUUUACUCCCUUGGCCAAUCUGGCAAAUAUGUGUGUCGCUUUAAUUUUUGUUUCAAACGGUUAUUUCAUUUUAAUAUAAUUUUGUGGCCUUUUUGCGUGUGUAAGAGUAAGUAUACAAUUAAUUAAAGUAUGGGUUUCAGGGGUGUUGCAAGUUUCUGGUUUUCAAAGAUCAGGUAUAUUUCCCGGAUGAAGCCGAGGCGAAUAGGCAUGGUCGAGGAAAACAAGAAACUUGCUUUAUGUCCCUCAACUCCAUAUUUUAACCGUUUUAUUAUACUGAUACAGAUUUUAACUCGUAAAUAUUUGUAAUACACAUGUUGUAUAGAUGUGUCCUGUCAUUUCAAUAAAAAUGGAUCGAAAUUCGAAAGUGAAUUGAACCAUACAGGCUAUGAUGACCUACAUUUAUUAUGAAUAUAUUACACAAAAUAAAGAGAAGGGUUGAUACUUGACAUGGAAAUGAAUUAUCGCUGUCUAAAGAUAGUGUUUGUGUAGCCCAUAGCCAUCAUCAUCCCGAAAUUUAAAAUAAAAUGUUCUAAAAUAUUUAAUCGAAUUUUAUCAAAAUGGCAGCCGUCACAUGUCGACAUAGGCAUUAUGUAAGUACUAGAGAUGGACCCGCAGGGCAAGACAAAGCGCGGGAAUUACCUGGGCACGUCCACGCGGGCUGUGUGCGGACCGAAGGGACAAGUAAACAAUGGCGUAACCUGAGGUAGAUACCACAGUGUGUAAAUUCAGGGAGUUUAAUGAAUAAGCGUGAACUACAGCUCACACUUAUUAUCCAGUCUGUUAACGAAAACUACGGUAGCCUAUAAGGGCCGAGGAAGAUGAAACUCCAGUUGGCAUCUACGGAUGUUUGAACACACCAUAAGUCGUGCGUCAUGAAUAGACAUUCAGGUUGUGUUGGGAUAUGUGUAUCCUGAUAGGGUUAUACUGUUGGUACAACCCGCAGUUAGACACUACUUCCUAGUAUGGAGGCCGGUAGUGUCUCGUUCAUGGUGAGGUAUGGAGACCCGGUGAGGUAGUGGACCAGGUGUUUUACCGGAGAUAUUCAGCAGCUGAGAUACUGUUCAGCUACAGUCAAAGGCCUGAACAUUCUGUGGUGGAGUAGACAUUUGUACUUGUUUCGUGGAGGAUAGACUUUGUUGUGAACAGAGGGAUGAGCUACCAGACAGUUUGGUUAUAAUAUAGUAAUAUAGUGUCAGGUUGGGGAAAUCUGCCAUUUUCAGCUAUAUAGCUGAUUUUAGCUACUCUAGCUCAACAUAGCUACUAUCGACAGCUAGAUUCAGUUACUUCAAAACAAUUUACCUGUUGCCGUGUCAAAUACACAAAGUCGCACGUGCGCCGCAAAACAAUCGGGUACGCUACCAUAUAUUUAAACAACUUCCACGAAUAUAAAUCGGAUAUAAAAA